This 960-nucleotide ribosomal RNA is filed under the name Triticum aestivum (bread wheat). RNAcentral describes it as "partial small subunit ribosomal RNA". The record is from RNAcentral. Lineage: Eukaryota; Viridiplantae; Streptophyta; Magnoliopsida; Poales; Poaceae.
AUGGCAAAGGCGGGAGAGAACAGCUUUGAGGAUGAAAUCAUGGAGUCGGACAUCGAAUUGGAAGGGGAAGUUGUUGAGCCGGACAAUGAUCCUCUGCAGAAGAUGGGAGAUCCAUCAGUUGAAGUCUCUGAAGAAAUGCGCGACAAGGCACAGCUCUACAAAAAGAAGGGUGUUGAUGCGCUUUCAGAAGGUAAACUGGACGAAGCAGUCGAGCACCUGACGGAGGCCAUCUUGCUGAACCCCACUUCAGCUAUCCUCUAUGCAGCCAGGGCUGGUGUUUUUGUGAAGAUGAAGAAACCAAAUGCAGCAAUUCUUGAUGCGGAGGCAGCAUUACAGAUAAAUCCAGAUUCUGCUAAAGGAUAUAAAUCACGAGGGAUGGCGAAAGCUAUGCUUGGGAAGUGGGAAGAUGCUGCUCAUGACCUUCACUUGGCAGCAAAAUUGGAUUUUGAUGAAGAGAUCAGCUCAGAGCUUAAGAAGGUUGAACCCAAUGUACACAAAAUUGAGGAGCACAAGAAAAAGUAUGAACGCCUGCGUAAAGAGAGGGACAUGAAAAAAGCUGACUUGGAAAGACAACGUAGGCAUGCUGAGGAGGUUUCUGCUGCUUCUGCUGUUCUAAAGCCUGGUGAUGUGAUCACUAUCCACUCAUCUAAUCAACUGGAAGAAAUAUUUACAGCCGCGUCAAAACUGUCAAAGCUUGUGAUUCUGUAUUUUACUGCAACAUGGUGUGGACCAUGUCGUUUUAUGGGCCCUGUUUACAAAAGCUUAUCUGAACAGCACCGGAAUGUCGUAUUCCUUAAGCUGGACAUUGAUCAACAAGGCAAUAUUGCCCAUCGCUGGAAUGUCUCAAGUGUUCCAACAUUCUCCUGUGUGAUAAACGGCAAAGAGAUUGAUAAGGUUGUCGGGGCUGACAAGACCGGCCUUGAGAGAAAAAUUGCGCAGCAUGGCUCUCUUAAACACUGA